AUUUGUACAUUAAGCAAUUAUUAUUUUUUGAACGAUACAGAGAUUAGCAUGGCCCCUGUGCAAGGAUAACAUGCAAAUUCAUGAAGCAUUCCAUAUUUUA
Molecule: small nuclear RNA, 100 nt
Filed under: Papio anubis (olive baboon)
Lineage: Eukaryota; Metazoa; Chordata; Mammalia; Primates; Cercopithecidae
Source: RNAcentral